Lagopus muta (rock ptarmigan) is the source of this 711-nucleotide long non-coding RNA. RefSeq lists it as uncharacterized. NCBI's taxonomy places the organism in Eukaryota, Metazoa, Chordata, Aves, Galliformes, Phasianidae. The record is from RefSeq and is a predicted model, not a curated record. The transcript has 3 exons.
UCUUGUGCGGUGCUAAGUGGGGCUGGCAGGGAUCGUCUGUUCGUCUGGCAGCUGAGCAUCGUGCACGGAAAGCAAAAUUACACCAGGUUUCAGCUUUGCCCUUGUAAGCAGGGAUGCCUCUUUUUAAUGAAGUAGUGGACUCAGCUCUUGUGGGCAAAUCAUCAUUGAUAAGGAGAGAAAAAGAGACACAAUAUGUGAAUUUUCAACUGUCAUCACAGAGAAGAAUUUCCAUCAGUACCUUAAACAGAAGUUGACUGGAAGGAAGCCACAGCAGUAUGUUAAGAGUUUUCAGUGGGGCAAGUCUGAAAGACACAACAAAAAAUGUUUCAUUUGGAAAACAUCACAAGGACCUGCUGUAGGAUUGCCAAAGUAAACUGUUUCAUUCUAGAGGAGGUCGAAGUGAAACAUCUGUCAGUCUGGUAAUCUUUGUGUCCUUCCACUGAAAAAUGGAGCCGAUGGGAAGGUACAGUUCAGCAAGCAAAGAAAAGGAAAUUCUCCCUCUUCUCUUAACUAUUUCUGAAAACUGAGCCAUCAUAGUGAAGAGCCUGAUUCGCAGACUUAGUGGGAAUUACGCCUGAGCCAGGUAGCAAGAAAAGUUCCAUGGAAGACAACAUCCAAGUCAAACAAUUUCUGUAGGUCUGGGUUUGAAAUCCUCACCCUGCAAGUCUUAACUUCAGCCAUCAGCUCACUCAGUUUCUGGUCUUAUUAAAA